RNAcentral lists this long non-coding RNA (1050 nucleotides) under Cricetulus griseus (Chinese hamster). Its description in RNAcentral is "lncRNA (ENSCGRG00015030011.1)". The record is from RNAcentral. Lineage: Eukaryota; Metazoa; Chordata; Mammalia; Rodentia; Cricetidae.
GGCUGCAGAGGCCCAAGCAGACAGGAGCGUCUGUGAAGAGACCGGUGUGGAAUCUUCCUGGGAAAGAGCUGCUGAGAGCUCCCGCAGAGGCAUCUAAAAGUCUCCAGGUACUGGCCUAAACAGUCGUGGAUUCUGGGAACAGCAGAGCUUCACAGUGCAGACAAGCCCUUGGGUGAGGCCAAUUAUCUAUGAUGGCGAGGCUGUUCUGGUCCUCCUGAGAACCAGAUGUUCUCUCAAGCAACAGAGCCUUCCUAGGAACACCUUGCAGAACAAGACCUGAGACAGUGAUGGACCAGACUGCACCUUGACUGGCUCUGCUGAGUUCUUCACGCCUAGCCUCUUCCUGGUUCUUUUUUAAGGCUGCCAGCCGAAGGUGUGGCCCAGAUUCAAGGUGGAUCGUCCCACCUCAAGAGAUCUGGAUUAAAGCCUUCAUCCAGCAGCUGGUGGAAAUAGAAGCAGACACCCACAACUAACCACUGAACUGAACUGGAAUCCAGAUGCAGAGAAGGACGAGUAAAGAGCAAAGGGGUCCAGAUCAGGCCGGUGAAACCCACAGAAACAGCUGACCUGAACAUCGGGGAACUGUUGCUCCCCAGACUGGGAUACUAGCAUUGGACUGAUCCAGACCCCAGGAACAUGGGUUUCAGUGAGAAAACCUCGGAAAUCUACGGGACCUCCUGUAGUAGUUCAGUACUUAUCCCUAGCAUAGGUGUGGACUUUGGGAGCCCAUUCCACAUAGAGGAAUACACCCUGAGCCAAGACACACGGGGGUGGGCCUAGGCCCUAUCCCAAAGGAUAUGAUUGACUCUGAUGACACCCUAUGAAAGGCCUCACCUCCAGGGGGAUCAGAAAGGAUAUGUGAUAAGGGAGGGUUUUAGUUGGGGGGGGUGGUAAGGCAGGAGGGAGGGAGAAGGGAACUGGGAUUUUCAUGUAAGACAAUCUUGUUUCUAAUUCAAAUAAAAAAAUCUGCAAAAAAAAAUAGGUAUUCUGCAUGGGUGGACAAUGCUUCUUUUGAGAGACAUAACGGGAAAUCUCAGUGACAAGAACAGG